GUCUACGGCCAUACCACCCUGAAUGCACCCGAUCUCAUCUGAUCUCGGAAGCUAAGCAGGGUCGGGCCUGGUUAGUACUUGGAUGGANN
Molecule: ribosomal RNA, 89 nt
Filed under: Vicugna pacos (alpaca)
Lineage: Eukaryota; Metazoa; Chordata; Mammalia; Artiodactyla; Camelidae
Source: RNAcentral